Molecule: non-coding RNA, 429 nt
Organism: Sceloporus undulatus (fence lizard)
Lineage: Eukaryota; Metazoa; Chordata; Lepidosauria; Squamata; Phrynosomatidae
Source: the annotation of a RefSeq genome assembly
AAAGAAACAGGGAAAGAAGAGAUGUUUUGGUUUUCACUUGUUAUCUUUUUAGCAGCUUCUGGAGAUGUCCAGUCACAGAUCCAAUUGGUGGAAUCUGGAGGUGAUGUAAGAAAACCUGGACAGUCUCUCCUCAUCUCCUGCCAAGCCUCUGGGUUCACCUUUGGAGAUUACUGGAUGUCCUGGAUACGACAAGCACCUAGGAAGGGCUUGGAAUGGGUAGCACAUAUUCAAUACUGGGCUGGUGAUGCAAAAUACUAUGCCAACUCAGUGAAAGGGCGCUUCACCAUCUCCAGGGACAACCCUUCAAGCAAGUUAUACCUGCAAAUGAAUGAUUUGAAAUCAGAGGACACAGCUGUAUAUUACUGUGCAAGGGACACAUUGAGAGGAAGGAAAUCUGAUACCAGACAAAAACGCCCUUUGCUUGCCUAA